UACAGAGGUCCCAAGCGUUGUUCGGAUUCACUGGGCGUAAAGGGUGCGUAGGCGGUCGGGUAAGUCUGACGUGAAAUCUUCAAGCUUAACUUGGAAACUGCGUCGGAUACUAUUCGGCUGGAGGAAUGGAGGGGAGACUGGAAUACUUGGUGUAGCAGUGAAAUGCGUAGAGAUCCGGAGGAACACCAGUGGCGAAGGCGACACGCUGGGCCGUACCUGACACUGAUGCGCGACAGCAUGGGGAGCAAACAGG
RNAcentral lists this ribosomal RNA (253 nucleotides) under uncultured bacterium. RNAcentral describes it as "partial 16S ribosomal RNA". It matches the Rfam family "Bacterial small subunit ribosomal RNA", at positions 524 to 776 of the family's 1533-position model. The record is from RNAcentral.